RNAcentral lists this long non-coding RNA (2191 nucleotides) under Eucalyptus grandis. RNAcentral describes it as "long non-coding RNA (EGRA_LNC002120)". The record is from RNAcentral. Lineage: Eukaryota; Viridiplantae; Streptophyta; Magnoliopsida; Myrtales; Myrtaceae.
CCCCGACCGCCCCCUUCGUCGCCGCUCGGCCGCUCGUUCGUCGUCGCCGUUCGUCCGCCGCCGUCGCGCCGGACCGCCGUUGGCCGACCCCUCUCCUUUCCCCUUCCUCUCUUCCGUCGACUCUCUCUCCCGCUCCUUUCCGUUCGAUGCCCAUAAAUUUCAGAGGAGGAGCCGCAUGUCGCCCGGAGCCGCCGCCCGCCGUCCUCGCCCCGCGUCGUCUCGUCGCCGAGCCGCUGUUCUCGCGCGCUGCUGCUGGCCGCGCGUCUUGGCGGUCUUCUCGCCCAGCUCGUCGUCCCGAGCUGCUGUUCAGCUCACGCAGGAGCUGUCGGAGCUCCCUUCGGCCACCGUGAGACUCGCUUGGCCGCCGUGUGUCACCGCCCUAGCUGCCGCCUCCUUCCUCCGCUGUUCCUCCGCCCGAUCCGCUGCCGAGCAACCUACGUCCGACCCCGACCAGCAGCUGGAAAAAUGGGUAUUCCAACCCGGUUUUGGCCCGUUUUGGUUGCCUUCCCGAGCCCGGAUGCUCGGCCUGCUUUGAGGAAAGUCGAUCCUCGCGUCGUCUCCGUCGUUUUGGUCCGCUCGGCUCGCUAAUCCGGUGAGUUUAACUCACUAAAUCUCGCUUAGAGGGUUAAUGAUUCUUUAGAUGUGUUUAGUUUAUGUUAAGUGUUAUUAGGUGGUUAGUUUAAUUUAUUUAAGUGUAGAUUAUAUUAAUGUGCUUGAUUAACUUAAAGUGUGAUUAAAUUAAGGUUAAGUGAAUGUUUAAAUUAAGGUUAAGUGAUUAACAUUGAUGUGACAUAAAGGAAUUUACUUUUGAUUUAUUUAAAUAUUCCGAAAUCAUUAAAUAAUUUAAUAAUAUAUUAUUAUUCGAAAUUAUUAAAAUAUUAUUAUUUAAUUAUUUUCGGAAUAAAUUUAAUUAUUUAUUAAAUUCCGAAAAUUUUGUCGGGACCCUAAAUUCUCAGAAUUUUGUGCCGGUUGCUGCUGUAUAGUCGGAUUUUGAAAUUAAUAAUUGGAUAUUAUGAAUUGAGUGUGGAUCGUGAAAAAUAUGAAUAUUAUUAUUUAAUUAAUUUUCGGAAUAAAUGUAAUUAUUUAAUAAAUUCCGAAAAUUAUUUUGGGACUUUAUUUUCUCAGAAUUUCGUGCUGAUCGCUGCUGUGCAUUUAGAAUUUGAAUUUGAUGAAUGAAUGUAGCCAAUUGAGUGUUGAUUGUGAUAAAUAGAGAUUUUUAAUCAUAAAAACCCAAGUGUCGGGUUUUAAUGCAAAAAUUGGAUUUUAAUGAUUAUAUUAAAUAGUGGGGUUUGAAAAAGUGAGAUAUUAGCUUUCUGGAUCGAAAUCAAUGUGCCCCCACACACGUGGUUAAUUUCUGGACUAUUUUUAAUGCGAAGAAAAGCGGCCGGGAUUACUAUUUUAAGUGGAAGCAUUGAGUGAAAUGCAAAGUGUCCUGGGCCGAAUAUGAAUUGUUGUGUGAUAACUAAGAGGAAUCGUCCUGGGCUGUUGAUCCAGACUUGCCCCUAUAUGGGAUGCCCACGCGGUGGAUGCGGGUCGCAGUUGAUUCUGGGCCCAUGCUCCUUCGGGAACGCCGUCAAUGUACUGACGAAGCCGCGCUCCAAGGUGGGGAGGCGAUGCCUGGCUAUUUGUCAGUAGAUAGCCGAACAGCGAGUAGGCUAUGCCUUUGUAUGGCAGUGAAUAACAAUUGGAAUGCAUGUUGAGGGAAAUUGAUGUGUUGGAUUAUGGGACGGAAUUGUGUGGCAUGGAAUGUGACGUGUCAUAAUGAUUUAGUCUUAUAAUCAGGACCCCCGCGGUUGUUGGUUAUAUGAAAGUAAUGCGUUCCGGUUGUUUAAGUUCUUAUUACUGCAUAUGAUUGAGUGAUAUGAACUGUGCUAACCUGCAGGAAAGAAUUGAGGCGAGGUAAGUUCUCUGUGUGAUGUGGCUAGGCCACCCGGGGCGUAUUUUCUUUCUAAUAGGGGUUUAGGGGGUUGAACUUGCUGAGACGUCGUCUCAUCCCGGUUGUGGGAUUAAAAUUUCAGGUCCCUAGAUGGCGGUCGUGGAGGACCCGAAGCCCUAAGUCUGGAAAGGUGGAGAUUGAAGUAUCGGUGAACGUGUCCUACUAGUUGAUUUUAGGAUGGUUCCCCGUUUGUCGAGCUGGUCUAUUUUGUAAACAGUCUAGAGUUGUAUUUAAACCUAUGUGUUUGGAAAUGAG